RNAcentral lists this microRNA precursor (295 nucleotides) under Paramuricea clavata. The record is from RNAcentral. Lineage: Eukaryota; Metazoa; Cnidaria; Anthozoa; Malacalcyonacea; Plexauridae.
GACGUCGAUAUUCGACGUCAUAAACACCAUCAACUUUGGUGUUUAUGACGUCGAUAUUCGACGUCAUAAACACCAUCAACUUUGGUGUUUAUGACGUCGAUAUUCGACGUCAUAAAUACGAUCAACUUUGGUGUUUAUGACGUCGAUAUUCGACGUCAUAAACACGAUCAACUUUGGUGUUUAUGACGUCGAUAUUCGACGUCAUAAACACGAUCAACUUUGGUGUUGAUGACGUCGAUAUUCGACGUCAUAAACACGAUCAACUUUGGUGUUUAUGACGUCGAUAUUCGACGUC